CCUACGGGUGGCAGCAGUAGGGAAUAUUGCUCAAUGGCGGAAACCCUGAAGCAGCAACGCCGCGUGGAGGAUGAAGGUUUUCGGAUUUUAAACUCUUUUUGUUAGAGGAGAAAAUGACGGUAUCUAACGAAUAAUCAACGGCUAACUUCGUGCCAGCAGCCGCGGUAAUACGGAGGGUGCGAGCGUUAUCCGGAUUUACUGGGUGUAAAGGGCGUGUAGGCGGGAAAGCAAGUCAGAUGUGAAAACCAUGGGCUCAACCUGUGGCUUGCAUUUGAAACUGUUUGUCUUGAGUGCUGGAGAGGCAGACGGAAUGCGUGGUGUAGCGGUGAAAUGCGUAGAUAUUAGGCAGAACACCAAUGGCGAAGGCAGUCUGCUAGACAGCAACUGACGCUGAAGCGCGAAAGCGUGGGGAGCAAACAGGAUUAGAUACCCCGGUAGUC
This 440-nucleotide ribosomal RNA is filed under the name uncultured bacterium. Its description in RNAcentral is "partial 16S ribosomal RNA". It matches the Rfam family "Bacterial small subunit ribosomal RNA", at positions 338 to 795 of the family's 1533-position model. The record is from RNAcentral.